UACGUAGGUGGCAAGCGUUGUCCGGAGUUAUUGGGCGUAAAGCGCGCGCAGGCGGUGCGGUAAGUCUCUGGUGAAAGCGCUCGGCUUAACUGGGCGAGGGCCGGGGAGACUGCCACGCUGGAGGGGAGCAGAGGCGAGUGGAAUUCCGGGUGUAGUGGUGAAAUGCGUAGAGAUCCGGAGGAACACCCGUGGCUAAGGCGGCUCUCUAGUACGGUACUGACGCUGAGACGCGAAAGCGUGGGGAGCGAACAGG
RNAcentral lists this ribosomal RNA (253 nucleotides) under uncultured bacterium. Its description in RNAcentral is "partial 16S ribosomal RNA". It matches the Rfam family "Bacterial small subunit ribosomal RNA", at positions 524 to 776 of the family's 1533-position model. The record is from RNAcentral.